CCUACGGGUGGCAGCAGUGAGGAAUAUUGGUCAAUGGACGAGAGUCUGAACCAGUCAAGUAGCGUGAAGGAUGACUGCCCUAUGGGUUGUAAACUUCUUUUAUAUGGGAAUAAAACGUUCCACGUGUGGGAUUUUGUAUGUACCAUAUGAAUAAGGAUCGGCUAACUCCGUGCCAGCAGCCGCGGUAAUACGGAGGAUCCGAGCGUUAUCCGGAUUUAUUGGGUUUAAAGGGAGCGUAGGUGGAUUGUUAAGUCAGUUGUGAAAGUUUGCGGCUCAAACGUAAAAUUGCAGUUGAAACUGGCAGUCUUGAGUACAGUAGAGGUGGGCGGAAUUCGUGGUGUAGCGGUGAAAUGCGUAGAUAUCACGAAGAACUCCGAUUGCGAAGGCAGUUCACUGGACUGCAACUGACACUGAGGCUCGAAAGUGUGGGUAUCAAACAGGAUUAGAUACCCCAGUAGUC
Molecule: ribosomal RNA, 460 nt
Filed under: uncultured bacterium
Lineage: Bacteria
Description: partial 16S ribosomal RNA
Rfam family: Bacterial small subunit ribosomal RNA
Source: RNAcentral